Molecule: transfer RNA, 73 nt
Filed under: Anguilla anguilla (European eel)
Lineage: Eukaryota; Metazoa; Chordata; Actinopteri; Anguilliformes; Anguillidae
Description: tRNA-OTHER
Source: RNAcentral
GGAGUACUGGCACAGUGGGUAAGGAACUGGGCUUGUAACCGAAAGGUCAUAGGUUCGAUUCCUGGGUAGGGCA